Molecule: non-coding RNA, 330 nt
Organism: Pelobates cultripes (western spadefoot toad)
Lineage: Eukaryota; Metazoa; Chordata; Amphibia; Anura; Pelobatidae
Source: the annotation of a GenBank genome assembly
GUCUGUGUGUGGUGGCUCUUGAUGCACUGACUCCAGCCUCAGUCCACUCCUUGUGAAAGUCCCCAACACAUUUGAAUGGCCUUUUCCUGACAAUCCUCUCCAUGUUGCGGUCAUCCCUGCUGCUUGUGCACCUUUUUCUUCCACACUUUUCCCUUCCACAUAACUUUCUAUUAAUGUGCUUUGAUACAGCACUUUGGGAACAUCCAGCUUCCUUCACAAUUACCUUUUGAGGCUUUCCCUCCUUAUGGAGGGUGUCAAUGAUCGUUUUCUGCACAACUGUCAGGUCAGCAGUCUUCCGCAUGAUUGUGAUUCCUACUGAACCAGACUGAG